GACGAGGGGUCCUAGCGUUGUUCGGAAUUACUGGGCGUAAAGCGCAUGUAGGUGGUUUGACAAGUCAGGUGUGAAAGCCUCGGGCUCAACCCGAGAAGUGCAUUUGAUACUGUCAAACUUGAAUAUGGGAGAGGGUAGUAGAAUUCCUGGUGUAGUGGUGAAAUACGUAGAUAUCAGGAGGAAUACCGGUGGCGAAGGCGGCUACCUGGCCCAAUAUUGACACUGAGAUGCGAAAGCGUGGGGAUCAAACAGG
RNAcentral lists this ribosomal RNA (253 nucleotides) under uncultured bacterium. RNAcentral's name for it is "partial 16S ribosomal RNA". It matches the Rfam family "Bacterial small subunit ribosomal RNA", at positions 524 to 776 of the family's 1533-position model. The record is from RNAcentral.